CAGCCGCCACGGUAAUACGAAGGGGGCUAGCGUUGCUCGGAAUGACUGGGCGUAAAGGGCGCGUAGGCGGUUUGCACGGUCGGGUGUGAAAUUCCUGGGCUUAACCUGGGGGCUGCAUUCGAGACGUGUAGGCUUGAGUGGGGAAGAGGGUCGUGGAAUUCCCAGUGUAGAGGUGAAAUUCGUAGAUAUUGGGAAGAACACCGGUGGCGAAGGCGGCGACCUGGUCCUUUACUGACGCUGAGGCGCGAAGGCGUGGGGAGCAAACAGGAUUAGAUACCCCCGUAGUCCCUGUCUCUUAUAC
RNAcentral lists this ribosomal RNA (301 nucleotides) under uncultured bacterium. RNAcentral's name for it is "partial 16S ribosomal RNA". It matches the Rfam family "Bacterial small subunit ribosomal RNA", at positions 509 to 807 of the family's 1533-position model. The record is from RNAcentral.